GACGAACGCUGGCGGCGUGCUUAACACAUGCAAGUCGAACGAUGAAGUUCCUUCGGGAAUGGAUUAGUGGCGAACGGGUGAGGAACACGUGAGAAACCUGCCUUUCAUUUUGGGAUAACUCCGGGAAACCGGGGCUAAAACCGAAUACUCCGUCUCGGCGGCAUCGCCGAGCCGGGAAAAAAUUUUGAUGAAAGAUGGUCUCGCGGCCUAUCAGCUAGUUGGUGAGGUAAUGGCUCACCAAGGCAACGACGGGUAGCCGGCCUGGGAGGGCGACCGGCCACACUGGGGCUGAGACACGGCCCAGACUCCUACGGGAGGCAGCAGUGGGGAAUAUUGGGCAAUGGGCGCAAGCCUGACCCAGCGACGCCGCGUGAGGGAUGAAGGCCUUCGGGUUGUAAACCUCUUUCAGUAGGGAAGAAGCGAAAGUGACGGUACCUAAAGAAGAAGCACUGGCUAACUAUGUGCCAGCCGCCGCCGUAA
Molecule: ribosomal RNA, 480 nt
Filed under: uncultured bacterium
Lineage: Bacteria
Description: partial 16S ribosomal RNA
Rfam family: Bacterial small subunit ribosomal RNA
Source: RNAcentral